RNAcentral lists this ribosomal RNA (497 nucleotides) under uncultured bacterium. Its description in RNAcentral is "partial 16S ribosomal RNA". It matches the Rfam family "Bacterial small subunit ribosomal RNA", at positions 28 to 507 of the family's 1533-position model. The record is from RNAcentral.
GAUGAACGCUGGCGGCGUGCCUAAUACAUGCAAGUCGAGCGAACAGACGAGGAGCUUGCUCCUCUGACGUUAGCGGCGGACGGGUGAGUAACACGUGGAUAACCUACCUAUAAGACUGGGAUAACUUCGGGAAACCGGAGCUAAUACCGGAUAAUAUAUUGAACCGCAUGGUUCAAUAGUGAAAGACGGUUUUGCUGUCACUUAUAGAUGGAUCCCGGCCGCAUUAGCUAGUUGGUAAGGUAACGGCUUACCAAGGCAACGAUGCGUAGCCGACGUGUGAGGGGGGUCGGCCACACUGGAACUGAGACACGGUCCAGAGUCCUACGGGAGGCAGCAGUAGGGAAUCGUCCGCAAUGGGCGAGAGCCUGACGGAGCGACGCGGCGUGAGUGAUGAAGGUCUUCGGAUCGUAAAACUCUGUUAUUAGGGAAGAACAAAUGUGUAAGUAACUAUGCACGUCUUGACGGUACCUAGUCAGAAAGCCACGGCUAACUACGUG